Molecule: long non-coding RNA, 150 nt
Organism: Juglans microcarpa x Juglans regia
Lineage: Eukaryota; Viridiplantae; Streptophyta; Magnoliopsida; Fagales; Juglandaceae
Exons: 3
Source: RefSeq, a predicted model, not a curated record
CAUGAUUAUAUUUAAUAAGACACUUUAUAUAUAUGAAUAAAUAUAGAUAGAAGUCACUAUUGGGAGCAUCCAUUUUGCACAAAUGAUGUGGCAUCAUUUAGACCACACAUCUCUCCAAGUAAGUGUUGUGAACAAUCAGCUAGAAGCAGC